This 354-nucleotide RNase P RNA is filed under the name Prevotellaceae bacterium. RNAcentral describes it as "RNase P RNA component class A". It matches the Rfam family "Bacterial RNase P class A". From Rfam's summary of the family: Ribonuclease P (RNase P) is a ubiquitous endoribonuclease, found in archaea, bacteria and eukarya as well as chloroplasts and mitochondria. Its best characterised activity is the generation of mature 5'-ends of tRNAs by cleaving the 5'-leader elements of precursor-tRNAs. The record is from RNAcentral. Lineage: Bacteria; Pseudomonadati; Bacteroidota; Bacteroidia; Bacteroidales; Prevotellaceae.
AUGGCAGAACGUGUUAUCGCUUUUCUCAAAAGGGAGAAGGGAGGAAAGUCCGGACAGGACAGGGCGCUGCGCUGUUGAAAGACAGAUGUCUGUAAGGGUAUGGAAAUGUAACAGAAAAAAACCGCCCGGGCAACCGGGUAAGGGUGAAAAGGUGAGGCAAGAGCUUACCGCGUCUUGUGGCGACACAGGCGGACAGUACAGCCCGCAGCCUGCAAGACCAUGUAAACCGGCGUUAAGGGUUGCCCGCCCGGUGCCGGAGGGUAGGUCGCAGUUUCCGUGGAAACGCGGAAGAAAGAUAAAUGAUAACAGUCCCGCAGGGGAAUACAGAAUCCGGCUUACAGUUCUGCCAUUUAA